This 428-nucleotide ribosomal RNA is filed under the name uncultured bacterium. RNAcentral describes it as "partial 16S ribosomal RNA". It matches the Rfam family "Bacterial small subunit ribosomal RNA", at positions 338 to 795 of the family's 1533-position model. The record is from RNAcentral.
CCUACGGGAGGCAGCAGUGGGGAAUAUUGGACAAUGGGCGGAACCUGAUCCAGCCAUGCCGCGUGAGUGAUGACGGCCUUAGGGUUGUAAAGCUCUUUUAACAGGGACGCGGUACCUGUAGAAUAAGCCCCGGCAAACUUCGUGCCAGCAGCCGCGGUAAUACGAAGGGGGCUAGCGUUGUUCGGAAUUACUGGGCGUAAAGCGCACGUAGGCGGAUUGUUAAGUCGGGGGUGAAAUCCUGAGGCUCAACUCAGAACUGCCUUCGAUACUGGCGAUCUUGAGUUCGGAAGAGGUUGGUGGAACAGCUAGUGUAGAGGUGAAAUUCGUAGAUAUUAGCUAGAACACCAGUGGCGAAGGCGGCCAACUGGUCGAACUGACGCUGAGGUGCGAAACGUGGGGAGCAAACAGGAUUAGAUACCCUUGUAGUC